UUCCAGACUCCUACGGGAGGCAGCAGUGGGGAAUAUUGGGCAAUGGAGGCAACUCUGACCCAGCAACGCCGCGUGAGUGAUGAAGGUCUUCGGAUUGUAAAACUCUUUAAGUGGGGACGAAGAAAGUGACUGUACCCACAGAAUAAGCCACGGCUAACUACGUGCCAGCAGCCGCGGUAAUACGUAGGUGGCAAGCGUUGUCCGGAUUUACUGGGUGUAAAGGGCGUGUAGCCGGGCUGACAAGUCAGAUGUGAAAUCCGGGGGCUCAACCCCCGAACUGCAUUUGAAACUGGUGGUCUUGAGUAUCGGAGAGGCAGGCGGAAUUCCUAGUGUAGCGGUGAAAUGCGUAGAUAUUAGGAGGAACACCAGUGGCGAAGGCGGCCUGCUGGACGACAACUGACGGUGAGGCGCGAAAGCGUGGGGAGCAAACAGGAUUAGAUACCCGGGUAGA
Molecule: ribosomal RNA, 451 nt
Filed under: uncultured bacterium
Lineage: Bacteria
Description: bacterial SSU rRNA
Rfam family: Bacterial small subunit ribosomal RNA
Source: RNAcentral